This is an RNA transcript of Ananas comosus (pineapple), 2898 nucleotides long. RefSeq lists it as uncharacterized. The transcript has 2 exons. The record is from RefSeq and is a predicted model, not a curated record. NCBI's taxonomy places the organism in Eukaryota, Viridiplantae, Streptophyta, Magnoliopsida, Poales, Bromeliaceae.
AGAUUUGAAUUCACAUUAUUUUUUUUCCUUAUUUAGUUUUCAAUCUUUUAAAGAGUUAUAGACUAAUUCGAAUUUUAAAUUGCUUUUUAUGUCAAAGUUGAUAAAAAUAAUCUAAAUAUUCAAAUAAAGCUUUGAUACAUGCACAGUUUAACAAUAUAUUAUUAGUAAGGUACAUGCAUUCAUUUUUUGCUAGAAAGAAAAGUAUUUAAAAUUCCAAUUGUUUGAUAAUAAGUUAAGUUAUAUAAAUAUAAAUGAUAUUAUAUUAUUUAUAGCAAUAGGAAAUUGCUAUUACAGUGUAAAAUAGGGUAGGGCUAACGUGUCAUUUGUGGUCUUCGGACAUCAUUGCGGACAUUUAUGGGCUUCUCUUCGGUUAUUAAUGCUGCCAUCAAUGCAAAACUUACCCCGUUAGGGUUUUCGCCGUCUUGAUUGUUGAUGCUGUUUCAGUUCACUCUCUCCUUCUCCGUCCUCAACCGCUCGCCGUCGUUACUCCUGCGUUUGCUAGGACGAUUGCGUAGUGGGCCUGUCGCUGUCUCCGCCGUCGAGGGUCGCAUGGCGUGGCGGACCUAGGUAACGACGUGGCCUCCAGCAACUCGCCGGCCGGGCGGAAGAUGCCUUGGAUGGUGUUGAUGGCUGUGAGAUCUGGGGCAGAUUUGACAGGAAUAAUUUUUUCUCCUUUUAAACUGAUGAUGUUAAUCUCCUCCAUGCUUAUGCUUAGUUGUCCUCCAGCAACUCACCGGGGUGGCGUGGAAUACGUCCACUGGUGUAGAUGGCUGUGAGGAUUUGGCCGGAUUUGAUAGGGUUUAUGGAUUAUCGAUUUGACCUUGAGGUUUAUCCUGUAUUUGGCCCAUUUUUCUCUCUUAAACUGAUCUGCUCUCUGUUCUUGCAAUUCCUGAUUUUUGCUAUAAAUAGCACCUCUGCUCUUGCUCUCCUUCUAACUUUUUUGCUUUUUUACUCUUCUCUUUGGUUAUCGCUUGGUUGUUCUGUUGCCUUUGUUGCUUUGGUUUGGCGCUGGUAUCAUGAGGUGUGGAAGAGCCGUUUUAUCCUCCCUCCUUCUUCUUAUAGGCUCUUUUAUUCCCUUCAUGUAUACUAAUCUCUUUUGCGUCCUCUGUUUCUUACUGUAUGUGGGUAUACGUCGUUUGUCGUAUUGCUAGGCGGGUUGGCUCUGUUCUUUGAGAAAAAAAGGUGCGCCUAUUUUGCCAUUGUUCAUUUGCUUGCAGUGUUUAUGGUACUGUCUGCUAACUAACUGUGCUAACUAACAGCUCUUUGUUUAUACAUGUUUAUUUUCUUUUUGGCGAAAUGGCGGUGUUGAAAUGGCGGGAGUUCUUUUGCUGCUUCUAUGUUGGCCGAUGGUUUACUAGCUUAUAAGGUAUGGCGGUUUGGAUGGUCAUAUGGCAACCACUGCAGCCUGUGUAAAAAAAUAUAGGUUCGGGUAGUGUUGUGCUGUUUUUUCUAUUCCUACUUUUUUCCAUAUUGUUUAAAGUAUUAGCUAAUAUUUUUGUACAUUAUUUUAUAUUGGUUUUGUGAAGGCUAUGAUGAUGGCUCUUUCUCAAUAGCGGUGCUUUGCAGCCAGCAAAUAAUAUUGACUGUUUUUUAGGAAAGACAGAUUGCUUGGCCCUCUUGAGUGUUUUUCUCAAUAAUAUUGAUUGUUUUCUGUACAUGUAUGGUUUCAAAUGGUUUUGUUCUAUCUUAUAAAAAUAUAUUUUUUUUAUUGUAUAAGCUGUGCAUCAAAAAAAGUUUUAAAUAUAUGAUUUAGAUUAUAGGUUUUGUCACCCUUUUUUGUUAUUCAAACAAUAAUUUGUUUGUUUAAAACUAUUAUGUCCCAUGGCAUUUAUUUAUCUUUAUAAAUGUGAGGUACUUGAGCUUAAAUUUGAAAUGCCAAAUACAAACAAUUGAUUUUGUUAUUAAUUAUACUAUGAAUGGUUUGUUGUAGUAUUACUUUCUUAAUAUGUUCUCUGCUCAGGCAUGGCAGGUUGAUUGUUCUAAUGACAAUGUCUGCAGCCUGCGCGAUUUACUGAAUAUUUUGUUCUAUUAUGCAAUAGAUUGGUAUUGAAUUACAAUCAUUGUGCAAAUACAUUGAGCCUAUCUGAGCCAAUAUUUUUGUGCUUUUAUUUCUGGUAUUUUUCUUACCUACCAAAUUUAUGGAAGAAGCAUAUGAAUUAGAAACUGAACCGUUCCAAACACGCCAAGUCGCAAUGCACAAGAGGUGCAAGCCGCGAGUGUGGGUGCAAUAUGCGGGUGCGGUUUGCGGUCGUUGCUUUCUUUUUAAAAGUAUUUAAAUUUUUUUAUAUAUUAUACUAAAACUAAUCACUAUGCAAACAUUUAUUUCUCUUUUAUGUUAUUAUGUUUCCUUAAUGUCCAAAUUUUGUAGGAAUCUGGUUGUCUCAUUGAGCUGAAAAGAAUGUGUGUUUUUUUGAUAGUCAACAAAGUACAAUUCCAACAUUUAAAAAUAAAAUCUAGAUCUUAGUUAAAUUAUUCAACAGCUUACACUUGCUGUUGCAUUCUUAUUGUGGGUUUAGGAUUUAGGAUUUAGGGUUUAGGGUCUAGGGUUUACGGCUUCUGAUUUAGGGUUUAUGGUUCAUUUUUAUAUCUUUUUGGGUUUCUCUUUAUUGCAGCAUUAGCAAUUUUGAAUCAUAAGUAUUAUGUUUAGUUCCUACAUUUGUCUAAAGUAUUUAUGUAUAUCUAUCAAAUAUACUUUUGGAUAAAUUUGUAUGCAAUUAUUAAAUUUGUGUCUCAAAUUUAUGGAAAGCAGUUUGCUGCUAAAUCGUCUACAUUAAAUGAAAUUGAUUUAGGCCAGUUUUUUUAAUGAUAUUGAGAAUGUUGUUGCAUAGUUAAAAGACAUAUUUAUUAUAUGCUGCUUCAUGUACUUCCCGACUGAGGUGAAAUAUGUUGCAUAUUGUA